GACGAACGCUGGCGGCGUGCCUAAUACAUGCAAGUUGAGCGCUGAAGGUUGGUACUUGUACCAACUGGAUGAGCAGCGAACGGGUGAGUAACGCGUGGGGAAUCUGCCUUUGAGCGGGGGACAACAUUUGGAAACGAAUGCUAAUACCGCAUAAAAACUUUAAACACAAGUUUUAAGUUUGAAAGAUGCAAUUGCAUCACUCAAAGAUGAUCCCGCGUUGUAUUAGCUAGUUGGUGAGGUAAAGGCUCACCAAGGCGAUGAUACAUAGCCGACCUGAGAGGGUGAUCGGCCACAUUGGGACUGAGACACGGCCCAAACUCCUACGGGAGGCAGCAGUAGGGAAUCUUCGGCAAUGGACGAAAGUCUGACCGAGCAACGCCGCGUGAGUGAAGAAGGUUUUCGGAUCGUAAAACUCUGUUGGUGGAGAAGAACGUUGGUGAGAGUGGAAAGCUCAUCAAGUGACGGUAACUACCCAGAAAGGGACGGCUAACUACGUG
This 497-nucleotide ribosomal RNA is filed under the name uncultured bacterium. RNAcentral's name for it is "partial 16S ribosomal RNA". It matches the Rfam family "Bacterial small subunit ribosomal RNA", at positions 28 to 507 of the family's 1533-position model. The record is from RNAcentral.